UACGUAGGCAGCAAGCGUUGUUCGGAAUUAUUGGGCGUAAAGAGUGUGUAGGCGGUGCUCUAAGUUCGGUGUGAAAUCUCCCGGCUCAACUGGGAGGGUGCGCCGAAAACUGGAAUGCUUGAACAUGGGAGAGGAAAGCGGAAUUCCUGGUGUAGCGGUGAAAUGCGUAGAUAUCAGGAGGAACACCUGCGGUGUAGACGGCUUUCUGGACCAUUGUUGACGCUGAGACACGAAAGCGUGGGUAGCAAACAGG
This 253-nucleotide ribosomal RNA is filed under the name uncultured bacterium. RNAcentral describes it as "partial 16S ribosomal RNA". It matches the Rfam family "Bacterial small subunit ribosomal RNA", at positions 524 to 776 of the family's 1533-position model. The record is from RNAcentral.